GGAGUUAAGAAAUGUAGACUCGCUAAUAUCGGGUCUAUUUGACAAAGGCUCCAAAGGAAGCCACGGCUAACUCUGUGCCAGCAGCCGCGGUAAUACAGAGGUGGCAAGCGUUGUUCGGAAUUAUUGGGCGUAAAGAGCACGUAGGUGGAUUUGUAAGUCAGACGUGAAAGCCUUCUGUUCAACGGAAGAAUUGCAUCUGAAACUACAAACCUUGAGUGUAGGAGGGGAGAGUGGAACUUCUG
Molecule: ribosomal RNA, 242 nt
Filed under: uncultured Planctomycetales bacterium
Lineage: Bacteria; Pseudomonadati; Planctomycetota; Planctomycetia; Planctomycetales
Description: partial 16S ribosomal RNA
Rfam family: Bacterial small subunit ribosomal RNA
Source: RNAcentral